CCCGUGGUGGCACUGCUGGGCUUUGCCCACGGUUUUCAUUUCACCUGUUGUUCGUUCUGCUUUAAUAUGGCCACAUGGGUGCUCAGAAUCGAAUUCUGAGAGGAUAUGAUAAUUUUUACGUUUUUUGGCGGUUGGAGGUGGCUUCGGUGCGGCGACGGUCGGCAGUCGGCGGUCAGCGGUCAGCGGUCAGCGGUCAGCUCCCUUCUUUGGCUACUGGUUAUUCUUCUCCGGUGGGAGGCUAGCGGCUAAGGUUUGAGUUCAAUGUGAUGCGAGAUAUUUAUACCCAUAUCGUAUUAAUCUGGACCGUUCAUCGCAUUCCAUAUCGAUCGUUCGAUCGAGCCUGAAGAAGAAAUGAAUAUGGGUCAUUCAUUGCGUUCGAUCUCGACCGUUCGAUCUUAUCUAAGGAGGAAACGAAUCUAGACUGUUCAUCGCGUUUGAUCUCGAUCGUCCGAUCGCUUCAUCGGGGUU
Molecule: long non-coding RNA, 468 nt
Filed under: Carica papaya (papaya)
Lineage: Eukaryota; Viridiplantae; Streptophyta; Magnoliopsida; Brassicales; Caricaceae
Description: long non-coding RNA (CPAP_LNC005537)
Source: RNAcentral